RNAcentral lists this ribosomal RNA (349 nucleotides) under Paracoccus sp. oral taxon H67. RNAcentral describes it as "bacterial SSU rRNA". It matches the Rfam family "Bacterial small subunit ribosomal RNA", at positions 30 to 407 of the family's 1533-position model. The record is from RNAcentral. Lineage: Bacteria; Pseudomonadati; Pseudomonadota; Alphaproteobacteria; Rhodobacterales; Paracoccaceae.
CGAACGCUGGCGGCAGGCUUAACACAUGCAAGUCGAGCGAGAUCUUCGGAUCUAGCGGCGGACGGGUGAGUAACGCGUGGGAACGUGCCCUUUGCUACGGAAUAGUCCCGGGAAACUGGGUUUAAUACCGUAUACGCCCUUCGGGGGAAAGAUUUAUCGGCAAAGGAUCGGCCCGCGUUGGAUUAGGUAGUUGGUGGGGUAAUGGCCUACCAAGCCGACGAUCCAUAGCUGGUUUGAGAGGAUGAUCAGCCACACUGGGACUGAGACACGGCCCAGACUCCUACGGGAGGCAGCAGUGGGGAAUCUUAGACAAUGGGGGCAACCCUGAUCUAGCCAUGCCGCGUGAGUG